Archocentrus centrarchus (flier cichlid) is the source of this 2883-nucleotide long non-coding RNA. RefSeq lists it as uncharacterized. The transcript is spliced from 3 exons. Lineage: Eukaryota; Metazoa; Chordata; Actinopteri; Cichliformes; Cichlidae. The record is from RefSeq and is a predicted model, not a curated record.
UGCUUAGCUUCGCCGAUGCUCUGGCUCGGCUCUACAGCUGCUUUAAGGAAAACUUCGACUUGUUUGUUCUUUGUGUUAAUGGGGUCACAUUUGUUAGUUUUAUUGUCCUUUAGGUUAGUCUCUUUUCCUGUAGGGACAUGUAACUGGGGGAGUGUUGGAUAUUUUUAUCAUCUGAUAUUGGUAUUUUACUAUAUCAUUUAUUAGUACCUAUAUUAAUCUGGAUUAAUGGUCACAUUAUAUAUUAUUUGUCACCUAUAUUGUCCCUCACACACUGGAUCACUGCAUGCUUUAGGUGAGUGGAAAGGACUGAGGCCUGCUCUGCCCAGGGCCUUGAGUUUUUUCCACUAGUAGAACUGCCCUCAUUCAUAUUUAGAGGCUUACCUUUGUACACAGUGCACUUUUGACACAGCAUUGCGAGAGGGAAGGUCAAGUAGCAGGGAGUGUGUGUCCCGAAAAGGGGGGUUGAACUCCCACUAGAGCUACUGUAAUAAUGUAAGGGAGUACUGAGAUAAGACUGCCCAAAAGUGUUUCUAGUAAUGUGAAAAUAUGGACAGAAGGGCGGGGUAGUGCUCCGGUGGGAGGUGUUUUCACGUGGGAAAGUUGUUUGUUUUGGCAGCCCCCAGAGAACAAGUCAUGGAGCAAUUGCAUGAGGAUCGAACUAGUAUGUUCAUAGUGGAUUGGGAGCAUCCUUCUGUGCCCACUGGCCCUGAUAACAGCAGGGGGAGGUGUGAGUUUGAGCAAUAAAAGGCGGUGGUAAAGUUGGGAGGGGGGCACUUUUUGCUCUUCCUCUCUCCCCUUUGCAGCGGCUCCAAGGCUCUCACUCCCAGGAGGGUUUUUGCUUUCUUGUCCUCUGUUUAACUCUGGACUUCUACUUCUUCUUUCACCCCAUUUUACUCACUGUUUUCACUCAUUACUUUCUUCCACUCUUUUGUACUUUACUUCUCCCCUCUUGCUUUUUAACUUCACUCACUAACGGUCCUUUCCUCUCUUUCUACUCUUUUUGUUCCUGCAUCUUUUUGUGUGUGUGUGUGUGUGUGUGUGUGUGUGUGUUUCUCAGUCUCAACUAUGUUACUGUCUGUGUUUGGUCUUUGUCUGUGUUUUGUGUAACUAAGAUGUCUAAUAAACAGCCUUCACUGUGUGAACACACCGCUGUGAACAUCUCAUGAUGGAUUUCACAGAACUCUCACCAUCGGAGGGAAAGAAAUACUGCUUGGUUGUGGUUGACAUGUUUUCUAAAUGGGUUGAAGCUUUUCCAACUAAAUCAGCAGACAGCAGUGCAGUCGCCAAAGCUCUGCUGGCAGAGAUAUUCCCUAGGUGGGGAAUCCCAAACAAAAUCUCGAGUGACAGUGGUACCCACUUUGUAAACAAAGCGUUGACAGAAGUGAGUGAAGUUCUAGGUUUUCAGCUAAGAACUCACUGCGCAUAUCACCCCCAGUCGGGAGGGGCAGCAGAGCGUGAAAAUGGUCCCUUGAAAAACAAACUGGCCAAAUGUUGUGAGGAGACGGUAGCUUUCCAGAUGGGUUAAAGCUUUGUCACUAGUACUCAUGUACAUGCACAUGCAAAGAAGAGCAAGAACAAAUCUUUCUCUUUAUGAGAUCCUUUUUUGGGGAGGCCAUCCACAACCAAAAUCUUACUACAGAGUUGUAUGAGCAUGAUAUGUUAACGUACUGUCAGACUUUGUCAAAAGCUGUUUUACAGAACCGGGAGGCCACGAAGGCAGCACUUCCAAGUCCAGCAUCCAAACCCCUGCAUUCUAUACAGCCCGGAGACUGGGUGCUGAUUAAAGAGCACAGAAGGAGGUGCUGGAGCGCUCCGAGGUGGCGAGGCCCGUUCUUGGUUUUACUGACUACACACACUGCAGUGCAGGUCGCCGAAAGAGCAGCGUGGGUUCAUGCCAGCCACUGCAAACCCUUUCAAGGACAGCCCCAGCAGCUGCAGAAGAUCAAAUAUUGAGCUUACUGGAGUACAUUAAACACCAACAAGACCAAUUAACCACCAAAGUAAACUAUCUGACCAACACGCUGAACUCAGCUGUCCAGAAAGAGGAAUACCUGACCCUGUACAGUUUCCAUGAGGCAAGAAGUAUCACAUGGAACAUUCUUUCCCGCAUGUUCCACAGUGACGUUGGACAGAAGACAAAUUGGACGGGGACCAAUGGAAAGGAAAGUUUCUCCCAGAUGGCAUCAAAAACCGUACUCUUGAAUGCAGUAAGAAAGACCCACGUGUCCCAUGCUGCCACAGAAGAGGAGAUUCGGAAACACGCCAUAUGAUGGUUCAGUCUGGCAGCAGACAGAGGAAGAAGGCGACGUCCUCCUGUUACCGUCCCGAAUCAACUCUGAGGGCUUAAGUUUAUCUGUACUGUUGUUCCAAAAAUGGUUAUCUUUUGUCUGUUGAUGUUUUAAUGAUGUACAGUAAUGAAUCAAUGCAUCACCUGCUUAAUGAAUUUUAAUGGGAUGUGAUAGUUUUUCCUUUCUUUGACAUUUUACUUGUGCAAGUGGACACAUCGGGGGCAGAGUCAUUUUGCUAUCUGAGUAUGGAUUUACUGAGCUGGCUGAGAUCCUGCUGACUGAAGGAUGAAGUUUGUUCUUUCAGUCUGUUUACAUGUUUAUCUUCCACAGGAGGAAGCACUGUGGUGAAGUCUGCUUCACUGCACACUGGCUUUUUAAAGAAUCAGUCAGCCUUUUGCUGUUUUUGCUCUGGAUCUUUUCUGUUUACAUUUUAAUAGCACAGCUGCGAGUCUUUUGUUACGCAGGGAAAAAAAGCAUUAAUAUAUUUGAGGAGCACUAUUAUUUAAAUGUGCCAGUGGUUUAUUUUUGAGCAAUUUCUCUGUACAUCUACAGCUGAAUGUUAAUAAAAGUGUCUGUGUGACAUCUGGGACAUGUA